CAAGACAUCACUUAACAUUUACUAAACUGCUUGAAUGUGCAUUUGCUCAUGCUUUAACUUCAUUCCGUAAGUGUCAAGUUGAACGUGUGACACCGCCCCGAUCACUCUUUGGAGGUAGGAUUAAGUGUGAACCAACAAAAUUCUCAGGCUAUGCAUACCUUGCUUCCUCUUCCCCACAGAGGCCUUUUCAUGGAGCAGCCAACUGGUCAACACUGUAGUUGUUUCCUGUCCUUUGAGAAGAACAAUGGUGAGAUGCACAGAAUUUUCUGUAUGGGGAACCCAGCAGCAGAGCAGUUUUUAAGACGCUUGGCACAAGGGAUCACCAACGCCUCCACAGAAAGAUACAAAAGAAGCAGACUGUAAAUGAUCUCAACCCUGUCCAAAUUUAGAUGCCUUGAAAAUUAGAAUUCAGGAAAUGGGAUUUUAUUUAAAAAACCCAAAAUCAGGAAUCCAGAAAUAAGAAAUAAGAAGUGAUCAAUAAUUAGUUGAAUUUCACAGAAGAGUUGCCUGGACCCCAGUUUCCCUGCCUUUGCAUUCAGUCUCCAGCAUAGAAUGCCAGAAGCACGCUACUAAAAAAUACAGUUCAAGAAAGUUGAUGAAUGGACACACAAACAAGUAUUUCUACGCAAUGCUCCUUUGCUUAUAGGAGGUCUUUCAAAAUAUUUUUAAAGAUAUAAUUCUGGUUGAUAGCAUCCAGAAGGUAAAAAUAAUGAAAGCUAUUUCUCUCGGGUAAGAUUUAUAUUUUAGUUAUAAUCUAAUGCAUAUGGACUAGAUUCUGAUUUCUUGUCCUGAUGUAAAUCAGAAAUUAGGAAUUUACAGCAUUAUAGUUGUGAAAAGGUUAUAUCCUUUCUGAUCCUUUAUGAGCUGAAGUCAUCAGACAACACAGAUUUUGUAGGUUUUUGCUCUUCAGGCUCUAUAUUAAAGGUUAUCCCACUCUAUAUUGUAAUCUAUAUGAUACUAUGAAAGUCCCAGAUGAUUUCUGUAUGUUUUCCCAUGUGCUAAGCUGAAGGCUACCAUACUAAAACUACAGUAUAUAAUUGUUUGGUCAGCUAUGUCAUUGAUUGAAGCUAGCAUAGUCAUAAAUUCAAGGACUGUGAAGGCCAGUGUCAUAACAAUUUCCUCUUUGGGCUUGAGUCCAGGGUUUUUAUUAGAUUGUAUUUUCAUUUAAUAACAUGUAUAGUUCAAAUCAUUUUAAACCAGAAUUCACUUUGUACUCUAGACUAUAGACGUGCUGAGGUAAAUGUUCUUAUGACAAAGAAUUACGAGGAAAUGGCAAGGACUCUGCAGUACAUUGUAUCAUAAGAUCAAGAGAGGAUUGUAGUGGGGGGGCUUGCAAUGGAAAGCUUUAUUCUGUGAUUCAGCUAAAGUAUAUUGGGUCAGUUUCUUACCAAGAUCCCAGAAAUCGGCAGAUAUUUAGAUUAAGGUGAAAUUCUCAUCUGCUUAUGAGUACAGUGCCUUGAAUUUUUUCCCCUUAGUGUAAUUAGUACCAAAUAAAAUAUGUUGCUAAGAUAAAUCA
Molecule: long non-coding RNA, 1516 nt
Filed under: Crocodylus porosus (Australian saltwater crocodile)
Lineage: Eukaryota; Metazoa; Chordata; Crocodylia; Crocodylidae
Description: lncRNA (ENSCPRG00005016126.1)
Source: RNAcentral